RNAcentral lists this long non-coding RNA (776 nucleotides) under Prunus dulcis (almond). RNAcentral's name for it is "sRNA ncRNA". Lineage: Eukaryota; Viridiplantae; Streptophyta; Magnoliopsida; Rosales; Rosaceae. The record is from RNAcentral.
CUUAGAAAAUGGAGGCAAUAUCUUAUUUACAGGGAAUUUAUCCUUUACUUUGAUCAUGAAGCAUUGAGGUUUAUCAAUGGGCAACACAAACUGAAUCGGAGACAUGCCCGAUAGGUGGAAGAAUUGCAGGAGUACAAUUUUGUGAUUAAACACAAGGCUGGAGUCCACAAUAAAGUAGCAGAUGCUUUAAGUCGCAAGGUAGCCUUAUUAUAUAUUAUGCAAAUUAGAGUAGAGGGCUUUGAGCAAUUGCAGGAGUUAUAUAAAUGAGACAAAGAAUUUGGUGAAAUAUGGUCCGAAUGUGUGCAAAAUAAUUCAGUACAAGAUUACCAUAUUCAAGAUGGAUAUUUGUUCAAGAGGAGCAAAUUAUGCAUUCUUGAUUGUUCUUUACGGUAAUGGAUAAUUGAGGAGCAACAUGGGGGAGGCCUUGAAGGACACUUUAGACGAGACAAAACAAUUGAUCUUGUUGAGAACAAAUUUCAUUGGCCCAAGUUGCGAAGAGACGUGGAGAGAUAUGUACAAAGAUGCAGGACUUGCCACUUGGCCAAGAGUCGUAGUCAGAACACGGGGCUUUAUGCUCCUUUGCCAGAGCCACAGGCACCGUGGGAAGACAUUAGCAUGGAUUUCGUUGUUGGCCUUUCGAAGACAAAACAAGGAUUUGAUUCAGUCAUGGUAGUUGUUGAUCGCUUUUCGAAGAUGGCCCAUUUCGUUCCUUAUAAAACAACCAUGGACGCUAGCAAUAUUGCUUAUAUUUAUUUUUAGGAGAUUGUCAAAUUGCA